AGGACGAACGCUGGCGGCGUGCUUAACACAUGCAAGUCGAACGGUGAAGCCCUUCGGGGUGGAUCAGUGGCGAACGGGUGAGUAACACGUGAGCAAUCUGCCCUUGACUCUGGGAUAACUUCGGGAAACCGGAGCUAAUACCGGAUAUGACAUGCGACCGCAUGGUCUGUGUGUGGAAAGAUUUAUCGGUUGGGGAUGAGCUCGCGGCCUAUCAGCUUGUUGGUGGGGUAAUGGCCUACCAAGGCGACGACGGGUAGCCGGCCUGAGAGGGCGACCGGGCCACACUGGGACUGAGACACGGCCCAGACUCCUACGGGAGGCAGCAGUGGGGAAUAUUGCGCAAUGGGCGAAAGCCUGACGCAGCGACGCCGCGUGAGGGAUGAAGGCCUUCGGGUCGUAAACCUCUUUCAGCAGGGAAGAAGCGCAAGUGACGGUACCUGCAGAAGAGCACCGGCUAACUACGUGCCAGCAGCCGCGGU
Molecule: ribosomal RNA, 479 nt
Filed under: uncultured bacterium
Lineage: Bacteria
Description: SSU rRNA
Rfam family: Bacterial small subunit ribosomal RNA
Source: RNAcentral